Molecule: long non-coding RNA, 97 nt
Organism: Etheostoma spectabile (orangethroat darter)
Lineage: Eukaryota; Metazoa; Chordata; Actinopteri; Perciformes; Percidae
Exons: 3
Source: RefSeq, a predicted model, not a curated record
AAUUUCUGAGUCUCAAAGUCUGAAAGCUGCCAAAUUCUGGUUUGAGUGUGGCGUAACUGCAGUUUGAGAAACAGUUUCCUACAUUUUUUGGAUUUGG